This 104-nucleotide non-coding RNA is filed under the name Myotis lucifugus (little brown bat). The record is from Rfam by way of RNAcentral. Lineage: Eukaryota; Metazoa; Chordata; Mammalia; Chiroptera; Vespertilionidae.
GGGCUGCCAUUAGCUGAGCAUUUCCUUCACUACAAGCCUUUGUUUGCCAACCACUCUUGCUUGUGAGAGUGGUUCAAAACCUACAGGUGCCCUCCUGCCCUUUA